GAUCCCCUGUCGUGUCCGUGUGGAUUGAAAUUUUUGUACCAACAUCUUAAAAAAGGGAGCCGGGAUUAAACCGACUAAGAACACGCCCGAUAGGGAAGUUCGAAGCGAUUCACUUGGCGCCCACCUGCUUAGCAGGGUUCAUAAUUUCUUUUCCAUAUCGGCACUGUGGCGGGGGAUCA
RNAcentral lists this non-coding RNA (179 nucleotides) under Nitrospinota bacterium. Its description in RNAcentral is "6S RNA". It matches the Rfam family "6S / SsrS RNA". Rfam says of the family: E. coli 6S RNA was the first non coding RNA to be sequenced, but its function was unknown until recently. The record is from RNAcentral. Lineage: Bacteria; Pseudomonadati; Nitrospinota.